GUAGAGGAAGAAUAGGAGGAAGGAAGGCAAAGAUGGAUGAGGAUCUCCAGAACUUUUGGGAUGAAGAAAAAGGAAGCUGAGUUAGCUGAUAUGGUAUAUUCUGCUGAGAUCACCUGCCAAGGGUGAGGGGCUUGGGCUGAAGAAGCCUUUAGCUAAUCAAAACCUCCUGAAGUUUAAAGAGAUUGGAAUCCAGUUGGCAUGCUAUUAUCGCUUCAUCUCCGACUGAGGCAGCCAUUCAUGGUAACUCUCAGUCUUGAGGAUUCAACUUUGGCAGACAAGGGUCUCACAUUAACAACUGCAUUUUGCUAAAGUCAUGGUACAUGGGAACAAGGAGUUGUUGGCAGUAUGGCCCAAGAAAGACUUCAAGCUCCUUGAAGGAAGGCCACACAUCUCUCCGGUUCACCAGGAUGCCUGGUACGAAUGUUCGAAUAUGUUUAGAUCAUUUAUUCUCAACAAGGGGUGCUUUUGCCACCUAGGGGACAUUUGGCAAUGUCCAGAGACCGUUAUUACUUGUCGCAACGUGGAGGGGCUACUGGCAUCUAUUGGGUAGAGGUCAGGGAUGCUGUUAAACAUCCAACAAUGCACAGGACUGCCCCUUACAACAAAGAAUUAUCCUGCCCCAAAUGUCAAUAGUGCUGAGGUUGAGAGAUGUUGAUUUAGAUAAAUGAAAAAAUGGAUGAAUAAAUGAUUGCAUGUGCUGAACCACCUCCUAGAACAUAACUUGUCAUGCAAACUCUAUCUAGACAUGAGAAGAUUGCAAGCUUUUUCCGAUUCUGGCCCUCAACAUCAUUUCUUCAUGCUGCUCAUUCCUCCUUUUGUGUUUGGGGAGCCUUCUCCCAGCAGAGAUGACUAUGCUUCAUUCACUUCGAUGAUACAACAACUAAAUAGAAAACCAGAGAGAAAUCCAGACAAUCUUUUCUCCAAAGACGAUUGUCCCCCCAUGCUACCUCCACAAAAGGGAUUUUGCUAAAACAAUCUCUUUGACUAGAUCUGAUCAGCCAAAAUGAGAAGAGCCAAUUUCAGCAAGUUUAAAACAUGAUUUGUUCUUGGUACUUUUUAACUUUCCAUCUGUAUUUUUCAUUUUACUCAACUUCUCACCUGCUUUGAAUUUAUUUUAUCUUUCCAAAUUAUUCAUAUUUUUGUGAGCAACACAAUAAUUUCUGGCAUGAGGCAGGGAAUAAACAAAUGAACUAAAUAGCAAAGAGAAGUAUUCCAAUGUAACAUUUCUCAAACAUUUUCAUUUUCUCCACAAGUAUUUCUUGGGCAGGGUUAGGGAAAUUCUUUUUUCUGUUAAGAAUCACUAACCUACUGUAUAAAGUUACAAAUGAAAAUGAAGCAACCAAUAACCAACCUAUGGGGAGGGGAUGGGGAGCGAGACCAAUGGUGGGAGAUAUAGAAUAUAUUUGAUUUGCUUUAAAAUUUUGAGGAAAAAAUAUACAACUUUGACUUAUAAAUACAAAAAUAUAAAGAUGCUUCAAGUACAUAUUAUCAAAGGAAAUCAGAUAAUGCAUAAGAGAAAGAGGCUGAGAGAAAGAGGAAGAGGAAGGGAAAUACAAAGAGAAAUAGUACUCGUGCACAGAAAGAAGAGAAGGUCAGAGGGAUAGAUAAAGGCCAGUGUCUUCUAACCACCGAUUGUCUGCAACCUUCAGCCCCUUGUCUUUCUUCCCCAAAGUUUGACUCUCCUGUCAGGUAAAACAUCCAGAGAGUAUCGAUCCACAUAGAUUUCAUGGUGGGACUUAGGAAAUAUAAAAUGAAAAUAACCAUUUUUCACCUUUUCACUGUUCUAUUAACCAUUUUUUGCCUCAGAAAGCAGGAAGACUAUUCCUUAAUUAUUUGUUCAGCAGUCUCCUUUUGUCCCGCCCUCCCUCCAAAGCCACCAAUAAUCCUCUUUCCCUUUACAGAAUGAACUAGAAUGACACAGGCCUCGGUCUCCUACCACUUACAUUCUCUAAGAGAAAUAAACAAAACACACACACAGAAGCCAACUAAGGGGAAGUCAGGAAAAUUUGUUCAAGUAUAAGCAAAAAAUUUGUAAUUUUCUUUUCGUUGCAAUAUUGCAAUACUCUUCUACAAUUUUCAAUUCUGAGUGGAAAAAUGGUUGGCAAUUUUACACAUACCUCCCUUCACACACACACACACACACAUACAUACUCUCACACUCCAAUAAUUACUUUGUUGGCUGAGCUGACCAACAUUUGAAAUAAUAAGCAUAUUUUUUUUAGUCAUGAAUGAUGGCACUUGGAGGUUAGUUAUCCUGUGUAAAAAUUCCUGGCAGAUUAAUUGCUCUGCCAUUUGACUGUUCAACAUUAAAUAUUUGAUCUCCCAUAAUUUCAAUAUUAAAGCCUUUUCUAAUUUGUUAUGUUUACAUCACGAAAGCAAAAUGUCUUUGACUAACCAAAGACAUGUUUAGCUCUUUCAAGAUUCCAAUAAUAAACAAAUCCAAGAUAAAACAUAAAUUUACCCUACUAUGAGUAUACAAUUGACAAAACAAUUUUGUGAAAGGAUGUUACAGAAAUCAGGCGGUUCUUUGAGGGAAAAGAAUGGUAUUUGUAUCUUAUAAUCAUGGUAUAGGAAAUUUUGAAAUACUUGAAAAGUAUUACUCAUUUUCCUAUGAAAGUAAGGAUGUUUCUUCAUUCCCUUGUUCCUAAUCCUCCCUAAUAACCUAAGAAUGAGUAAACAAUAUCACAGGAAAUCAUCUAGAAAUUUUAUAAGCCACAAUUAUCUGAUUUACAGCUGCGGUUGCUAUCUGUGCCCCCCGUCUCUGAAAAUGUCACGGUGUUUUAGGCUGGUGGAUGGUCCAAGACUUUGUUGGAAAAGGGUCACCCAGGUCCUCAACACUGCUUCCAGACUUUUCUCACUGCUGCUUUAAUUUCCCAUUAGAUGUUCAUUAUAAAUCGAUGUUUCCGAGAGGGCCCUUCUUUCCAAAGUAUUGCCUGUUUCUAAUUGCUAUGAUAUUGAAAUGUCAUUACUAGUAAUUCAUUCACACAUUUCAUACUUAUUGAAUGCUUCCUGGGCACAGGAGAAGACAGAUUACAAUCUCUCCCCUCAAGAGUUUGUAGAUUUGGUGUUUGAACUAAGGCAAUAAUGGAUUUUAAAAGUCCACUAGUAGGGUACAUACUGUAUGAUUCCAACUGCGUGACAUUCUG
Equus caballus (horse) is the source of this 3146-nucleotide non-coding RNA. NCBI's taxonomy places the organism in Eukaryota, Metazoa, Chordata, Mammalia, Perissodactyla, Equidae. The record is from RefSeq and is a predicted model, not a curated record.